Molecule: long non-coding RNA, 1889 nt
Organism: Astatotilapia calliptera (eastern happy)
Lineage: Eukaryota; Metazoa; Chordata; Actinopteri; Cichliformes; Cichlidae
Source: Ensembl
GAAGGAUACAGGUAAAAUAAAAUCAGCUUGGGAAAAGGAACUAGGGUCAGAAAUUCAUAAUGAUAUCUGGACUAAAGGGCUACGCUAUGUUAAUUCCUGCUCUAUCAACGCCCGACACAGGUUAAUUCAGUUUAAAAUUUUGCACAGAUUGCACUACUCGAAGACCAGACUACAUCGAAUAUUUCCUGAAACGUCACCCAUCUGUGAUAAAUGUCAAUGUGCAGAAGCUGAUCUGCUUCACAGUUUUGUAAUGUGUAGCAAAUUACAAAGUUUUUGGGCUUCAGUUUUUUCUUUUUUUUCCAAACUUUUUGUUGUGCAGUUAGACCCUGACCCCAUUUUGAUUCUUAUUGGUCUAUCAGGACAAUCUAAAAAACUUAAGAGCACACAGAUCCCCCUCCUGUCCUAUGGCCUGAUGUGUGCAAAGAGACUGAUUCUCCUCCUAUGGAAGGGAAAAGAAGUGCCCUCCUUGAAAGCUUGGAUUUCAGUAUUGACAGACACUCUUCAUCUGGAAAGGAUCCGUUACAUUAUAAAUGACAAACUGGAGGACUUCGAUCAGAUUUGGAGGCCGUUCUUUGAGCACCUGGAAAUUAUGAACAAAUGAGAGUUAUUAUGUGGACUUCACCAUUGCUUAAAAUAAGCUGAUAGCACUCUGGGAUAAGGGAAGGGUGUAGGGAGGGUUUGUUUUUUUUUUUUGUUUUUUUUGGUUUUGUUUUUUUGUCCGCCCUUUUCAGUACGUUUUGUUUUUUCCUGUUUUUGUUGUUUGGGUUUGUUUUGUUUUUUGUUGCUGUUGUUGUUCGCUUUGUUUUUCCUUUUUUUUUUUUUUUGAUCUAUACUAUCAAUAAACAUAUCAGUCCAUUCAUCCAUUCCAGCUUGUCCUGUGUCCAUCCAUCCAUCCAUUUUCUUAACUGCUUGUCCAAGAGUUGGGGAGGGACUGGAGCCACUUUUACCAGCUGUUAUUGAUCAAAAGCAGACAUCCUUCUGAAUUUACUUAUUAUAGAUUCAGACAUGUAAUAGUACCUAAUGUUUCCACUUGCCUUCACCCCAUCUCCUCAUCAAAAAUACACACUUACUAAGAUUUAACGACUUCCCUAUUGUUUUAGGGGAUUUAGCAAAAUGUCUUUUUUUUAAUUUGAAGGCUUGAAAAAUACAUUAUAAAUUCACCAACUAACUAAAUAUAUAAGUUUAUUUAUAUGUUAAAAAUACAUAAAUAAAUCUGAAUAGGAAGUUACCAAUUUACAUCUAGCUUUAAGUGCUUGAAUCCUUACAGAUAAAGGGUUACUUUAUCUUCAGGUUUUGCUAUAUUUUAAUUAUUUCUGAAAUUUUAUAGCUUCCAUGUUAGCGGGGUUUCUUUCCUGCUGUUGCUGCCAUCUUGCAUGAGGCAGUUAAAGUCACUAGAGUGUAUUCUUCUGCCCAGCACGUUGCUCUUGACUACACUUUGCUGAUAAAAAAAAAAAGAAAAAAAGAAAGUAUCUUCGUUUGUGACAGUCUCUUCCUCUCUGCUGUGCAGUGUGUGUCCCGGUCUCUGCAUGAUGUAAUCUUUGGUGCUACCCACUGCUAAUUAUGUGAGAGUCGGCACAAGUUGUAGAGCAGAAUGCUUAUAGGUAAAGAGAUUGUAUGAUAAAGAGAAGUAGAUAAGCAUGGUGACGUAGAUACACACAGAGGUGUAUAGAUGAAUAAGUGCGCUGGCUGUGACAGAAUGUAUGCCCACAGUGUGUGAUUUUGCUGACAGCUCAGGAUCUUCUAAUAAGCGGUGGCCCUGUUUGACAGAGAGGGAGAGGAAGGGGGAGGGAGGAAGGGAAUAAAAGGCCUCUUUCACCUUUCUCACCUGCUGAAGUUCCCUCCUCGCUAACGCUUGGCUGCUCACUGAGGUGCUCUACUGCACACACAUG